AAGAAAUUGUGAUUUUAAACAAGAAACCUCUAAGAACUUUUUUCCUCAUUUCGGAUUCCACUUUUGUCAGGAGAAACAUGGACGACAAUUACCAGCCAUAAGUACAACAGGAACAAGAAACUUGUAUGAUGAACAGGGAAUGGAUGUAGGAGCACUGUUGGCAUCUUCUAUGAGGUCACACUACUCCCUCAGAGACUUGCUGUGAAGGAUAUAUAAGCUGUGGUAUCUACAGAGCUGCCCAUAUGACAAGCUGUCCAUCUGUUCGAUUUUGACCUGUGCCUACCAGGGAUGUUUGAAUUGUAACAGACUUUCUACUGGACCUGUGGUGCAGAAUUUCUUAAUGAAUUGAGUCAAAAUUUCUUGCACAUGGGGUGUUAUGUUCUCUUUGUACAGAUGUAUCAAGGCAUGCUGAUGAGUGCUUAACUGAGACAUAGUUUGGCCCUUAGAUGUUUGCAGAGCUCCCUUCAGAGCCUAAAUACCCAGCUUUUAGCCAGCACAACACAGGAAGUCAAGCAUGUCUGGGACAAAUCCAGGAUCAUCUCUAGCCCCUAUUUGUAGCAGUAAGUAGCAGAAAGAUAGCCAUGAUGAUGACUUGUCUUGCAGUCUGAGGAACCAAAGUUAGUCAAAACCCUGAAGGAGAAGAGCCACCUCUAACAAUAUAUCAGAGCAAUCAAGAUGCUAGAGUGAGGUGGUGUUACUGGUAGUUGUGAAUUCAACAGAGAGAAGCUAUGCUCCUUUGAUAAAACAAUUUAAUGUUCAAAGGAGGUUCAGUUAAUAACUGAAAUACUCCCAUUAAA
This is a non-coding RNA of Taeniopygia guttata (zebra finch), 797 nucleotides long. The record is from RefSeq and is a predicted model, not a curated record. Lineage: Eukaryota; Metazoa; Chordata; Aves; Passeriformes; Estrildidae.